Molecule: long non-coding RNA, 366 nt
Filed under: Equus caballus (horse)
Lineage: Eukaryota; Metazoa; Chordata; Mammalia; Perissodactyla; Equidae
Description: lncRNA (ENSECAG00000053711.1)
Source: RNAcentral
CCUGAGCGAGCCUGGGAGCCGAUUCUUCCCUCAGAACCUCCUGAACAGAACAUAGCCUUGCUGACGUCUUUAUUCCGGGCUUGUGAUGCUCUAAGCAAAGUAUCCAGUCAAGUCUGCUGGACGUCUGACCUACAAACAGCACCUGGAGUCAGUCCUAGCAGCAGCCCCGCUCUGACCAUACCCGCUGAAGGCGUGCCAAGACAAUUCAAUGAGGAAAGAAGAGUCUUUUCAACAAAUGGUGCUGGGACAUCUGGAUAUCCACAAAUUAGCCCUGAGCUAACUACUGCCAAUCCUCCUCCUCUUUCUCUGAGGAAGACUGGCCUUGAGCUAACAUCCAUGUCCAUCUUCCUCUACUUUAUACAUGGG